GAGCUGUUAUUAUAACCAGUGCUGUCUUUUACUGAGCACGGAGGGGUGGAGUAAGUCAUUCAGGCCACAGAUGGAGAAAAGGGCAGAGCUGGGGCCACACGCGGCAGCCCCAGGCCCACACCUUCAACGGCUGUACCGAGGGGUCCUUUCCUAGGUGACCCCUAAUCUCCCCACCCCCCGCUGUCCCCACUCCCCCAUCUUAGAUUCCCAGUGAGUUUCAGAGUAGAGGUCUCCAUCUAUUGGUAGGUGUGAGCGGUAUUUUUCAAAUGAUCUAAUCCCGGACAGAACUGAACAAACUAGAUCAGAAUGCGCCCAGGUAGUAAGAGCAAGUAUUGUUGAGCAAAAUACACGUGCGCGCAGACCUAUACUGGGCCGUGAGGUAAAAUGCAUGUCUAACUGUGGAUCAUGGUCCAAAAAGUCUGCAAAACCCUUUCUUAGAGGCAGAGUCUCCAUCAAAUCUCCGUCUGCGGCUCUCAGCCCGAGAAGAGCUAGGCCGGCCCCUGCUGGGCACUGCCAGUAUUGCACCAGGAGCCUCCACCGCCGUGAGCUUGGGGGUGGCCUGGCCCUGACUUGGUGGGGAAAGCAGCGCCAAUUGCCUCAUGGGAGUCCAAAAUACAAAAAAAAAUUUUCAACAGAAAAUUUAAUGGAAUGUUAUCAGUUCCACACUGUCUUCCCUGUGCUCUGACCGCUCUCAUCUCCCCAGGGAGAGCGGAAGCUCUUGGGGGCACACUGGGAUCUUGCGUCCCACCCGAGACACUGGUGAGGUGCGAUGCUCCACUCCCACUUGCUGACUGAUCGGCCAGUACUGAAGAAGGAAAUUGCCUAGGGUCACCAAACACUUAGCUAAUAAUUCUGAGCACCCAGGCAAGACAUGGGUUGCAAAACCAGAGGGAGAUGUGGCAUCUAGAACAUAUUAAGUAGCUACGAUGAGGCAGAUAUUCAUAGAUCCUAUUUCAUCAAGUCUUUGUUCCUCCCUUAUUAUCCUCACUUUACAGACGAGAACACCGAGGCUUAAGAUCACGAGGCUGAUGAGGAACAAGUUCCAGAAGCUGGGCCUGCUGAAUUCUAGGCCAGCACUCUGGAGACAGAGGAGGAAGGUCAAGGUUCAUCCACGCUGUAGCAUAAAGCAUCAUCAGCUGAUAGACAUCUGGGUUGUUGCCUCCUUUUGGUAUUAUGAAUAAUGCUGCUAUAAACAUUUGCGUACAAGUUUUUGUGUGGACAUAUGUUUUCAUUUCUUUUGGGUGUAUACCUAGAGACAGAAUGGCUGAGUCACAUGGAAACCUCUAUGUUUAACCAUUUGAGGAACAAGUUGUUUUCCGAAGCAGCUGGACCAUUCCCACCAGCAAUGUAUGAAGCUUCUGAUUUCUCUACUUCCUUACCAACAGUUGCUGUUAUUUGACUUUUUGAUUCUAGUUAUCCUGGCAGGUGUGAAGUGAUAUCUCAUUGUGGUUUGGAUUUGCAUUUCCCUGAUGACUAACGAUGUUGAGCAUCUUCUCAUGUGUUAUUGACCAAUUGUAUAUCUUCCUUGGAGACAUGUCUAUUCAGAUUCUUUUUAAUUGGGUUUUUUGUCUUUUAUUAUUGAAUUGAAAGUGUUUAUAUAUUCUAGAUACAAGUCUCGUAUCAGAUACAGGAUUUACAAAUAUUUUGUCCCAAUUCCACAGGCUGUCAUUUUACUUUCUUGAUGGUGUCCUUUGAAGCACAAAAUUAACUUUGUUAAAGCCCAAUUUAUCAAAUUUAUCUUUUGUUGUUGCUUAUGGUGACAUAUCUGAAAAGUAUUGAGGGCAUCUAAAAGGAAUCAGCUUCAGAUAUUACUCAUUUCCACUAAUAUCAUCUGGAACGCCAUAAAGAGCUUUUAUUCCUUCUGCUUGAGACAGAGAACAAUUUUUAUUAUGAAAUAUUUAAGAUAUACAUAAAGGUACAAAUAAUAACAUACAUCUGUGUCCCCACUACCCAGCUUAAGAAAUUUUGCCCGUAAAGUUGAAGUCCCCGUGUCCCCUCCUUACCUCCCUCUCCAGAGGCAACCAUUACUCUGAAUUUGGUGUUUAUUGUUCUCAUGCAUUUAUUUAUACUAUUAUUAUGUGUGUAUCAAUUUUUUACCAAUAUGUAGUAUUGUUUUGUCUUUUUGAAUUUCAUAUAAAUGGCAUCAUGUAGUACAGAUUCUGCAACUUGCUUUUUUUCCACUCCACAGUGUUGAGGUUUAUCCACGUUGAUAUAACUAAUAUAAGUGUAUAAAUAUUGCUCUAGUUCAUUAAUUUUCACAGUGGCUACACCUUCUAUAAACACAAUGUUUAUCCAUCCUAUAGAUGAACAUCCAUGUUGAAAUAGCCAAAAACUGGGGAAAAAUGACACUAAACAUUUCUGAGCACGUAAACCAGUUUCUCUAGAACCAGGGCUUUCCAUAUCUUUUUACUGCAACCCACAGUAAAAAUAAAUAAAAUACAUUUUAUAUCUUGACCCUAUGCACACAUACAUAUGUUUGUGUGUAGAUGUUUAUCAGUAUAUAACAAAAGUUUCAUGUAACAAUAUUGUCUCCUGUUAUUUCUCUGUUGUUAAUAUUUCCUUAAAUAAACAAAAGAUGGUGUACAGACACUGAACUGAUUCCAUGACUCCCCUACCUAGGCUACCACCACAGUUUAAAAGUUGCUCACGGGUAUCAUCCCAGAGAGUGUAACUGCUGGGUCAUGGGUGUCUUAGCUCCGGCUGCCACAACAAAAUACUACAGAGUAGGUGGCUUAAACAACAGGCUUUUUUUUUCUCCCCACAGGUCUGGAGGCUGCAAGUCCAAGAUCAGGGUGCCAGCAUGGUCUGAUUUGGAUGAGAGCCCUCUUUCCGGCUUGCAGACAGCUGCCUUCUUACUGUGUCUUACAUGUAAGGCUGAGGUCUCCUCCUCUUCUAAUAAAUAAGAGCACUAAUCCCAUCAUGGGGGCUCUGCCCUUAGGAUCUCAUAUAAACUUAAUUACCUCCCAAGGGCCUUACCUCCAAAUAACAUCACACUGGGGAGAAGAAUUUCAACAUAUGAAUGGGAGGGAGGGGAGACCCAAACCUUCAGUCCACAGCUUGAGGUAUACACAUAUUCAGCUUUUUACUAGACAAUUCCACUGUUUUCCAAAAUAAUUGUAGCAAAUUAUGCUCAUACAAGAAGACAAGUGAAUUGCCAUUGUCCUGCCUCCUUAUUGGAUUUAAACGUAUUCCUAUCUGAUUUUGCCUAUGUGAAAUGGUGUCCUGUAAUGUAAGUUUGCAUUUCCAUAAUUGGUAGUGAGCCUGAGCAUCUUUUUUAUGUUUACUGACCAUCCACAUUUUCCUGUUCCAUAAACUAUGAGACAGGGAAUCUAUCUACGGGAAAAGUUUCCAAGGCCAUUCCUGAGCUUGAGUUGAGAGGCAUAUGCAGGUGUGUGGUUCUGAUGUUUAAAUCUGUGACCACUUGCCCAAGAAAAAAGGGAACCAAUCAAACAUUACCUUCUCAGGAAGACUUCUUCCAAUUCUUCUCAGGCCAGAACAAAGUAGAAUCAGCAGCAAUAACAAUGAAGGAAAAAACAGGUGGAAAAAAGAGGCUUUGUUUUUCUUAAAGCUAAAAAGUCCUAAUUUGGACCAUAGAAAAAAUCUACUCUUGCUAAGUCGAGCUAUGUAAAUCUGGAUAUGUUAUUCUUCUGUUCUCAGUCUUCCAAUCUGCAAAAUCAGGAUAACAAUCUGUACCACUUCUUACCCCCAUGUGAAAAUUCUGAAAUACAUACUCUUUCAAAACUUUGAAAAUAAAGAAUUUGUAGAAAUUCAAGGUUUUGUGGGCGUUAGUCAUCCAACGCCUUCCAAAAGCUUAAGUGAGAUGAUAGAACUGUAGUCCCUUAAACAGCUUUCUGGAGUGAGCCACUCUCCUCAAUUCCUGCCUGAAAAGCGACGGCUCUGCAGAACAAUGAAUUAUUCCCUAAAAUAACACAGUCCUGUCUUCCAGUCUCAGAAAAUAAAUCUUAGAAAUUCUCCAUUUUAAGGCAUAGAAAUCAAAUCGCUUAGUGGUCAGAUAGUCUUUCUCUGGAGUCUCCUGCUCUCUGGUUCAGGCUAUUUAAACAUCAGUCCCUCUACCCUCUGGUCUGAUUUCCCUCCUGUUGCAGAUGCCAAGAUCCAUCCUAAAGUCACACUUGCUUGCUUUAGACUCAAGCACAAGAGUGAGGGCUCAAUGGUCGACAACACUUCACCCUCCCACUCUUAAGACAGAGCAGCCAUGGGAAGGAAACAGAAAUGACUCCUUCGAAGUGUUAAUUAUCAAAGCACAAAGGAAAAAAACUGGUACCAAAUAGUUUCCUUUACCAAAGAAUAAGAAGUUAGAUCAACAGAAUUUACAACCAAGAGGUGUUCCCACCCUGAAGGCCAGGAUCUAUGAGCAGAUCACACAAGCUGCUGCCGCCACCUUCUUUGUGAGGGUUGACUUCACUGCCAGCACUCGCUCCCAUCCUUUACUAACAUCCACCUACCAAAUGGGAUCUCAAGGCUUGGCAGAAAGGAAAGAAAGAAAUGGUGAAUCCUCAUCACACAAAGGGAUCCUUGCCUAAAGCCAUCUCCACCUAGAAGGCAUGCUACCCACAAAGUAGCGCAAUGGCAGUUGAAUUGAGCCAACAGUGUCACAACCUCUGUUGGGCUAAUGGAUGCUCUUUCCACAUCACUAUCAUGUUCAUGACCAUCACCUGCAUCUUUUUCUGAGCACAUUGCUCCUUCCAAUAUUUGACACUGCCUUCUUUUGCUCCAGGCAUAUUCUCCCAGCCAAAGCUCCACUGUAUAGCCCAGGAACUUCUCUAAUUCUGUAAAUCACUGCUCUCAAACACGGUGUCAAGAAAGUAAAGAAAAUCAUAUCUGCCAGUGACCUAGGAGGAUCACUCCAUAGAUCAGCAAAAUGGUUAAAACAAAACCUAAACCUAGAAGAAAUUCACCUUACUUCAAUUGCAAAAUUGGAGCUGAAGAGAUGUUUAUAUAUUUUGUAAAGAUUUAUGUAAUUUUUCUGUUUGGACUAAAGUUAUAAAUAGCUGUCAUCUACUGUGAAAAACAUACAAACAAGGGAAGGCAAUGCCAAAAGCCAGCAAAGAAUAGAAAGAGGAAGCCAGAAUGAGAUUAAGUACUAGCCACAGAUUAUUUUACUUACUCAUGCUUUGUCUAUUCUUCAAAAGCAGCAUCCAAGGGCAAAAGGGUUCAAAAACAAGACCAUAAGUAAAAAAUUUUCUUCUAGAGCCCAAGAAAAGAAGUUUCUCAUAGGCACUAACAUGUCUAGGUCUCAGAUACAAAGUAGUAUAAAAGAACCAUUUCCAGGCUUCCCUGGUGGCGCAGUGGUUGAGAGUCCACCUGCCGAUGCAGAGAACGCAGGUUCGUGCCCCGGUCUGGGAAGAUCCCACAUGCCGCGGAGCGGCUGGGCCCGUGAGCCAUGGCCGCUGAGCCUGUGCGUUCGGAGCCUAUGCUCCGCAACGGGGAGAGGCCACAACAGUGAGAGGCCCGCGUACCGCAAAAAAAAAAAAAAAAAAAAAAAAACCAUUUCGAAAAACUAAAAACACUUCCUAACUGUUAACAGUGUACAUCCUAAUUGUUAACAGAUCUCUUUCCAGUGCAGGUAGGACUAAAAAUUUGAUGAACAUAAAGACAUCCAGGAGUGAGUAUUUUAAUAAACACAGGCUUUACUCUGUCUGGUUCCUCAUUCUCCUUUACAUUAAGUAAGUUACAAAAGUCAUGAGAUGUUAAUGCAGUAAGUAGUUCCUGUCAUUUUGAUAACCAAAUAAAAAACCUGAAAAUAGAACCAAAUUAGGAGGAAAGUUCUUUGGGCUAUUUCUGAAACACCCUGUAUUUGCUUCAACCAUGAGCAAAGUGCACACAGUCACAGCAUCUUACCCUGGCACGUUGGUCUCUGGGAAGUAACUGUCAGCUGAGUUUUGUUCCCAGGAGUAAAGGGGCCUAGCACUAGGGAGCCUUUCGCCAGCUUUGAAAUCUCACUGGUUCUAACUGGAAACGGAAGUGGGGGCUACAGGAAAGCUAAUGCAAAACUAUUUUUAUCUAAAUCUAACACACCAAAGGCCACCUGCAAAACAUUCUAGGAGUAGGAUACAGCUGUUGCUUGGAAAAAAUCAGGCAACUUUAACAAUAAGAUCUGAUAACAAAAUAUAAUUCACUUUCACAUCCAAAACCUAACUUGGUAGCUGCUCCAGGCACCAUCUAAUUAACUGAAGCAGAUAGAAAAAAAAAAUCCUCAGAAAUUAUCUUUGUUUAAAUACACUCUAUUUUAUUUUGUCUUAAAAUAGUUUAACCUUUAUGCUACAGACUUAUUUCAAAAAACAGAAAAUCUUAUCUUGCACCAAAAAAUAUAUAUAUAACACUCUGUUUUAUUAUUUUUUUUCUCCAAAGACCAUUAAAUACUAAUUGGAAACAAAAACUAAAUAAUGAAUGUAAAGAAGAACCAAAUUUUGUCUUAAAAACUAGAGUCACACAUUUUAAAACAUUAAUUCUAAGCAAUGAUUUGUCGUCACUGCAUCAAGUCCACGCUCACACUCCAGCAACAGCAGAUCUGUUAACCACCAAGUGCAUUGGUUCCUAGCCAUACAAUGGCUAACAUUUCAUUUUCACGGUAAGAGGAGCAAAAGGCUUCAAUGACCUUUGUACUCUUUAAACAACAAAAAUAUUUCCUAGUUAUCCAGUGAUUUUUUUUUUAAGAUCACUACCCUUUAAAACUUGUUAAAAGAAUAAGAAGUACGUAGUGUUUUAAAUAAAAUGAAAAAGUACAACAGCAUUGGACUAAAAUACGUGAUUAUUUUAAACAAACAGUGCACAAUCUGAGGAAGUUUGGUUAGGGCGCAAUCAUUUUUAUAUAUACAUGGAAGUCACAUCAUACACAUACUGAAAAACAGGGAUGGAGGGGAGCUCUUUGCCUUUAAAAAAAACCUUUAAACUGAAAGACAAUACUGUGUCCCCAGCUUUUUCGAAAACCUUGUGACACAGUAUAAAAAGCAGGCAACAAAUUCAUUUUUAAAUUGCCUAUGGUGCUAAUCUGCUAAAAGUAACAAUGAACAAUUGACUAAAUUAGGAAAUCAGAUGGUUCAUAUUCACAAUUGAUAAUAAUAAAAGCAGAGUUUAUGGGAUGCUUAAAUGUUACGAAUAAUGGAGUCCAUUCAGUCUGGCCCCUUCCAUCAAAAUGAAGAGACUACUACUGGCGAGCAAUAGCUACGUAUCAAUAUUGGUGUACUGAUGCAAUAGCUAAGUUAUCGCUCUGUGGUUUCAAAUUGGGGGAAGGGGGGCACUUAACCAAGUUAGUGCCAUACACCAAUCUGUGACCCAAGUGUACCAUUUUAGUGGAGAUAUUACUUGGAAGAGACGGUGAAGCAUAAAGUGUCUAUGCUACCAAAUGCAAAACUUUGGUUAAAAAAGACCCCCUUAAAAGAAAUUUUAAAUGUCAGAAUUUUAAAUUUACCACAGAAUUUUAUCAUUACUACCUUGCCAGAAACCACAUCCCUACUCUCCUGGAUCUGGCAAUGAAAGAAGAGUUGAAACAUAGUCUCUCUAUAGUUAGUUAGUAGGUGGAAAAGUCCCAACCUAGUAGGGAGAAAAGCUAUCUCUACCAUCCCUUCCCCUCCCCGCUUUUUGCAUAUUAAUUUUUGUUCUGGUGAAUCAAGCCAGAUAGGGUGCUGGAAAAGGGACAGGUGAGGGCAAAGUGUAACCCAAUCUAAAAGCAAAAGGCCAGAAAAGAGCUUGGUUACAACUCCGCUCUCCACUCCCAACCCACAGUGCACACAGCACACCCAAAGAAUUCUCGUUAGAGGAUGACUGUUAGGGACUUAAGAAAAUAUGCCCUGGGAAAUCCCCUGCUAUACGGAAUUGGACAAAACAUACUGCUAACGUAAGAACAGGUAAUGCAAAAAUGUUCUUUAAAAUGGGGCUCUGCCCUGAUGGUGGGGGGAUAAUAAGCUGCAAAAACUUCAAGUCAUAGAAUCCACUCUAUUCUUGCCCCAAUGGUUUUCCUGGAAAAUAUAGACCAGAAAUUGUACAUUUCUGCUCUGUCUAGUAUUUUAAUUCAAGUCAAAAACAACGUGUAACAGUAAAUUCAAUAAAUUAAUCCUAAAGUAAAAUGUGAAGGUCCAAGGAUACACCAGUAGUGAAUCUGCAGAAGGUCCUAUUUCGCUCUGGCCUCUGGGUCUUUGGUUUUUGUCUAGAAUU
Physeter macrocephalus (sperm whale) is the source of this 8172-nucleotide long non-coding RNA. RefSeq lists it as uncharacterized. Lineage: Eukaryota; Metazoa; Chordata; Mammalia; Artiodactyla; Physeteridae. The transcript has 2 exons. The record is from RefSeq and is a predicted model, not a curated record.